Long non-coding RNA from Lynx canadensis (Canada lynx), 361 nucleotides. RefSeq lists it as uncharacterized. NCBI's taxonomy places the organism in Eukaryota, Metazoa, Chordata, Mammalia, Carnivora, Felidae. The transcript is spliced from 3 exons. The record is from RefSeq and is a predicted model, not a curated record.
CCACCUAUAUACUCCUUUCUCUGCCCAUCGCCGCUUCCCCCCACCCACUUUUCUCUGGAGCGGACCGACCUACCUACUCCAGCUCAGCCCGUCUCCGCUUCCCCCCACCCACUUUCCUCCGAGCGGACGGAGCCGAGGGGGCGGGGGCUCCCUCCCGGGAGUGUUUCUAGAGCUCCGAGGCAGCUAGUAGGGGUUUCAUUGUCCGCAUGUUUAAAGUCUAAUAGAAAAAAAAAUCUCUGGAUAUGAAGUUGGGAGAUAGAUCCAAGUCUACAUCUACGUCCUCAUGUUGGUGACCUUGGGGCACCACUUUCAGAUAAAAACAUAGACCUGAAUGGCAUCAUCCAGUAUCCAAGGAAACCAU